UAAGCUAUAGUUUUUAUAAAAUAUUUCUGUUACAAAGAAAAGAAAAUUAUUAAUUAAUUUAGUUUAA
RNAcentral lists this transfer RNA (67 nucleotides) under Bactrothrips quadrituberculatus. RNAcentral's name for it is "tRNA-Val". Lineage: Eukaryota; Metazoa; Arthropoda; Insecta; Thysanoptera; Phlaeothripidae. The record is from RNAcentral.